GAUUUCACCAAGAGAUCGCUGCAUGCAUUGCAAAGCAAGGCUGAUUUUUUUUUUUUUUUUUUUUUUUGAGGGAGCCCUUUGUUAAGAUCUUGGCAGCCCAUCUCAGCCAGGAAGACAGAACUGCUCUGUGCUGAAGCUGGAGCUGGCACAUCUUCCUCGCAGUGUGCAAAGGCGGUGGGGAAGGCUGCCAUCUCAUGGUGAGCCUUGCACGGCUCCAGCACGCUGAGCGAACUUACCUUGCAGCUGGUUUCCAGGCCAGGUUGCUCCUCAGCACGUUUCCUCCACAAAUUGUGUGUGCACCUCUGCAGAUUGUGUGUGCACCUCCAGAAGAAGCCAGGGCGCUUCAACUUUUUAACUUUUUGUGCUUUGGCUUUGAAACCAAUGCUGCCAGAGCCUAGACUUUUCUGGUUUCUUGCCUUGCCAACAGUUUGUGUGAGAGCAAAAUGGUAGUUAUGAAAAACCAUGGAGGCAAGGCAAUCGCCCAUCUGAGGAGAGGGUGAUCAUCACGGAUGGUUUUAGUGGCCGCAUGAGACUGACACGCUGCUGUCUGUGACAGUCGCCUUGCUGAGUCACAGCCCUGAAUGGAAACUCCCCUGGAACCGCUUGCGGGUUGUAACUCAUAAUUUUGGGAUUCUUUGGUAUUCAUCACUAACCUUCUGCUGUGGCUCACACGUCCUACACUCACGCUCGCUGUCUGUCCUCUGCUUCCUGAAAACGCAUCAGCACUCGCCCAACAUGGGCUGGAAGAUACCAGCCGUGGGCUCCCUCUCCUCUCUGUGGGACGUGGUAGCUCUGCAGCAGGCUUUGUGGUGUUCCCAGAAGGCUCCAGAAAACAGAAAUCUGUCACCAGCUUUGGCCAGUAAGACCCUGUACUUGAAAUGGAAAAGGCUAUGCUGAGCCCCACCGCUCACCACCUUCUCAGCAGUGCCAGGACAACCACAGGCAGUAAUCUGUCUCAGUGGAAGGCUGAGGCUGAAAAUUAAUCUGCAUACAAAAAGGAACUGGCUAAGAGCUGCAGUGGGUUAAGAAACAAUCCAAGCUCCCAGAUCACUGAAAGACUUUUCUGGCCAACCAAGGGUGAAGUCCUACAGGUAAUACCGGGACCGUGCUAAGGCAACCGUUUCAGACCAGCCUGAAAAGGCAUUCAUCAUGACCUUUAAGUGCAUAUUUUCCAUUGGCUUUGUUCAGAUUGGUGCUGCCAGUUUGUGGUGAAACAGGAAAGAGAGCCAUCUUCCAAAAAUGUUGUGAACUUUCUAAAAGAAGUGGAACCUGGUAGCUUUCACAGCUCUCGCUACCACACAGAGUUGCCUUGGGAAGAGUGAAGGUAUGAAUUGGAGAAAGAUGGAACACAUGGAAAAAAAAGAGCAGAGUGGCUGAAAUACCAAAAAAAAAAAAAAAGCAUCUAUGCAUGCGUAGACCUUUGACUCUGAAAUUUUAAUCUAACUUUCUCCUUCUGAAAGUCAUGAAAUGAGCUUAGGGUACUUGCUGGGGUGGGCUCUGUGAAUUUUUCACUGGAUCUGCCUCUGUCUCUGUAAAUGGAGAAGACAACCAGCUUAAACCAACUGCCCAGUUCAAAGUUGAGAUGAAUCCCUCUUUUUCGUGAAAUCAUGACAUUUUCCUUUCUCUUUAGGAGGGACAUUACAGGAAAGUAAUACUUGUGCUCCGGAAUGACCUCAACUAAGACCCGAUUCAACCCAAAUAUCACAACAGGUUUGGGUCCCAUCUUUCUCAAAGUGAGUGAUGUCUUACAAUACCUCAUCUGUGAGCCAGGAAGCUGAACCAGUAUCUGUUUUCAGUCAGUUCUAGUUCAGGUUCAGCUGUGGAUGGAGUUGUUCCUGUUCAGUUCUUGUUAAACCCAUCAAAACUUUCAGAAAGCAGUUUAGAUUCAAUAUAAGAAAAAAAGUCCUGAAUGAUUUGGACCAAAUUCAGUUCAACAUUCUGUGUUAACAGAAUCUGGAAAGAAGCUGAUCUCCAGCUGGGACCAUAAACACAUACUGAAAUAAAGAGAUUUACUUCUUUCAUUUAUCAUUUAGAAAAGAAUGGGAGCUACGCUUGUCCUUGCACGAUUUUACUGGCACUCGUACAUUGUAUAAUGUAUGCCUGCCAUCCUGACAGAGAUCCAUUCCAGAAAAUAAUCCAUGACCAUUAUGGAUGUGAAUUGCAUUCCUUUUAAAUAAUGAGAAGAGACUGGAGAAAAUCUAAACUACUUUAAGAGAUGACCAAGAGACACUUUUCAAUAGAAUGGAUUUUAUUCUCCUAAUAAGGAGAAGUCAUGUUGUACAAUAACUGUAUCAUCUCAUUCCCUCAGUAAAGUUUAUGAAGAAAAGACUGACACAUUUUUUCUUACUGCUUAUAUAUUAUGCUGAUCCACGUCAGUAGGUAUUAAUUUAGUAAGCUGCUACUUUUGUGCAAAAAUGGAUUGGUAUGAAUACAGCAAAAACCACCUUAGAGUGAUGUUUUUAGGACUGAUUUGCCCUGGCCUUGCUCUAGUGAUCAGAUGUGGUAUUCAGAUUAAAACAAGAAAAGACAGCCAGGACAAGGUUUCCAGCUGUUAUUAAUGAAGCAUUUCUGCUUAAUCCCCACGGAAGGCACAAAAUCAACAUUGUCAUGGUUCUGCUUUGAAAAAUCC
Cygnus olor (mute swan) is the source of this 2629-nucleotide long non-coding RNA. RefSeq lists it as uncharacterized. The transcript has 4 exons. The record is from RefSeq and is a predicted model, not a curated record. Lineage: Eukaryota; Metazoa; Chordata; Aves; Anseriformes; Anatidae.